AUGGCUGUGCUCAUUCGAGGAACGGAGGAGGACCAGAACAGGAUUGCUACCAUCCUCCAAUGUGCUAUAGGCAAAUUUCCAUGCAAAUACUUGGGCAUCCCUCUGUCUAUCAACCAGCUUACGAAAAAUGACUGGCAGCCCCUACUUGACCAAGUGAAAAAGUUCAUCCCGGCCUGGCAGAAGGGCCUCAUUCAUAGGCCUGGACGGCUUGUGCUCAUUAAAUCUGUGGUCUCCACCAGACCCAUACAUCAGCUUAUGAUCCUCAAGGCGCCGGCUUGGGUGUUUGAAGAGAUAAAUGGCUGGAUGCGAUCCUUCUUUUGGGCUGGGAAGGAGAAGUCUAAUGGAGGGCAGUGCUUGGUGGCGUGGAACACUAUAUGCCGCCCAACUUGCUAUGGAGGUUUGGGCAUAAAAAACCUCAGGUUACAAGCUUUGGCGCUCAGGGCACGGUGGGAGUGGUUGCGACGUACAGAUCUUGAACGACCAUGGCAAGGAAUCUCGUUCUUGGUUGACAACGAGGCUAAAGAGGUGUUCAACAGUUUGGUUGCGAUCACAGUAGGCAUCGGCAGUAGGGUUCUCUUCUGGAGGGACCGAUGGAUUAAUGGAUCGGCGGUGCGAAAUAUAGCACCGGCUAUACUGUCUCUAGUAAAUACCCGCACGAUCAACAGUCGCACGGUCGAAUAG
This 681-nucleotide ribosomal RNA is filed under the name Triticum aestivum (bread wheat). Its description in RNAcentral is "partial small subunit ribosomal RNA". The record is from RNAcentral. Lineage: Eukaryota; Viridiplantae; Streptophyta; Magnoliopsida; Poales; Poaceae.